RNAcentral lists this ribosomal RNA (498 nucleotides) under uncultured Gammaproteobacteria bacterium. Its description in RNAcentral is "bacterial SSU rRNA". It matches the Rfam family "Bacterial small subunit ribosomal RNA", at positions 8 to 523 of the family's 1533-position model. The record is from RNAcentral. Lineage: Bacteria; Pseudomonadati; Pseudomonadota; Gammaproteobacteria.
AGAGUUUGAUCAUGGCUCAGAUUGAACGCUGGCGGCGUGCCUAACACAUGCAAGUCGAUCGGUAACAGGUGUAGCAAUACAUGCUGACGAGAGGCGGACGGGUGAGUAACGCUUGGGAAUCUGCCUAUUAGUGGGGGACAACCCGGGGAAACUCGGGCUAAUACCGCAUACGCUCUACGGAGGAAAGCCGGGGACCGCAAGGCCUGGCGCUAAUAGAUGAGCCCAAGUCGGAUUAGCUAGUUGGUAGGGUAAAGGCCUACCAAGGCGACGAUCUGUAGCGGGUCUGAGAGGAUGAUCCGCCACACUGGGACUGAGACACGGCCCAGACUCCUACGGGAGGCAGCAGUGGGGAAUAUUGGACAAUGGGCGAAAGCCUGAUGCAGCAACGCCGCGUGCACGAUGAAGGUCUUCGGAUCGUAAAGUGCUUUUCUGGGAGAUGAGAAUGGACAGUAUCCCAGGAAUAAGUCUCGGCUAACUACGUGCCAGCCGCCGCGGUAA